AACGAACGCUGGCGGCGUGCUUAACACAUGCAAGUCGAACGAUAACGCUCGGCUUGCUGGGGGACGGGGUGGCGACCCGGUGGGACACACCCUUGUGUUCGGCACUCUUCCCUGGAAUAGGGGCCAAAAACGGGUACUAUUUUUGGAUCUACAAUUUAUCGCCUUUGGGUGGGGGUGGGUUGGAUUAGCCAGUUGGUAGGGUAAAAGCCUACCAAGGCGCCGAUUGAUAGCUGGUCUGAGAGGAUGGUCAGCCACGCUGGGACUGAGACACGGCCCAGACUCCUACGGAAGGCAGCAGUGGGGAAUAUUGGACGAUGGGCGGAAGCCUGAUCCAGCAAUGCCGCGUGAGUGAUGAAGGCCUUAGGGUUGUAAAGCUCUUUUGCCCGGGAUGAUAAUGACGGUACCGGGAGAAUAAGCGCCGGCUAACUACGUG
RNAcentral lists this ribosomal RNA (433 nucleotides) under uncultured bacterium. RNAcentral's name for it is "partial 16S ribosomal RNA". It matches the Rfam family "Bacterial small subunit ribosomal RNA", at positions 29 to 507 of the family's 1533-position model. The record is from RNAcentral.